RNAcentral lists this long non-coding RNA (611 nucleotides) under Gallus gallus (chicken). RNAcentral's name for it is "lncRNA (ENSGALG00010028317.1)". The record is from RNAcentral. Lineage: Eukaryota; Metazoa; Chordata; Aves; Galliformes; Phasianidae.
GAUGUGAUCCAGCAAACUGUCACUUUCAGCCUUGCAUUGGUUCAAUAGGUCUGACAAAUGUGCAUGUGGUGUUCUUUCUGUUCCAGUGUGAACAUCUGUGGGAUCCAUCUGGUGCAAACUUUGCAAUACUGCAACAUUGCCACCAUCAUUUCCAACACACUGAAGUCAGCAUUUCUUUCCUUAGAGUUCCCUGGUCAUAAUCUGCCACAUUGCUUGGAUGAGCAGAUCAAAACACUCUUCAUUUUGUGGUGACAGCAGUGCACAGACAUCCAGAACAUGGCUUGUCUUUCACGUCACCAUUACCACUGUUGAAAUGCACCACUCAACACCUCACGGUGCUCAUGUCCACUGUUUGGUCUUCAAAAACAUUCAGCAAAUGUCAAUGAAUGUCAGAUCCCCUGGCACUUUACAAGCAGCACAGACAUAAUAAAACAACAAAGUAAGGCACACAAACACCUACAGCGAAACAUCAACCAUCAAAUUCCAGUGCCCAGAUACAUCUCACCAAUAGUCUCCAACUUAAACAAAUGAAACCGGACUAGUCCUACAGAAGCAAACAUUGCUUUAACUUCAUAACCAAAGCAGGAGGAAAUAGGGAGAUAACGGCAAAC